This 442-nucleotide ribosomal RNA is filed under the name uncultured bacterium. Its description in RNAcentral is "partial 16S ribosomal RNA". It matches the Rfam family "Bacterial small subunit ribosomal RNA", at positions 338 to 795 of the family's 1533-position model. The record is from RNAcentral.
CCUACGGGAGGCAGCAGUAGGGAAUCUUUCACAAUGGGCGAAAGCCUGAUGGAGCAACGCCGCGUGCAGGAUGAAGGCCUUCGGGUUGUAAACUGCUUUUAUAAGCGAGAAAUAUGAUGGUAACUUAUGAAUAAGGAUCGGCUAACUACGUGCCAGCAGCCGCGGUCAUACGUAGGAUCCGAGCAUUAUCCGGAGUGACUGGGUGUAAAGAGUUGCGUAGGUGGCAUAAUAAGUAGCUAGUGAAAUCUGGUGGCUCAACCAUUCAGACUAUUAGCUAAACUGUUAAGCUCGAGACCGUUAGAGGUAACUGGAAUGUCUAGUGUAGGAGUGAAAUCCGUAGAUAUUAGAAGGAACACCAAUAGCGUAGGCAGGUUGCUGGGACGGUUCUGACACUAAGGCACGAAAGCGUAGGGAGCAAACGGGAUUAGAUACCCCUGUAGUC